This 496-nucleotide ribosomal RNA is filed under the name uncultured bacterium. RNAcentral describes it as "partial 16S ribosomal RNA". It matches the Rfam family "Bacterial small subunit ribosomal RNA", at positions 29 to 507 of the family's 1533-position model. The record is from RNAcentral.
AUGAACGCUGGCGGCGUGCCUAAUACAUGCAAGCCGAGCGAACAGACGAGGAGCUUGCUCCUCUGACGUUAGCGGCGGACGGGUGAGUAACACGUGGAUAACCUACCUAUAAGACUGGGAUAACUUCGGGAAACCGGAGCUAAUACCGGAUAAUAUAUUGAACCGCAUGGUUCAAUAGUGAAAGACGGUUUUGCUGUCACUUAUAGAUGGAUCCGCGCCGCAUUAGCUAGUUGGUAAGGUAACGGCUUACCAAGGCAACGAUGCGUAGCCGACCUGAGAGGGUGAUCGGCCACACUGGAACUGAGACACGGUCCAGACUCCUACGGGAGGCAGCAGUAGGGAAUCUUCCGCAAUGGGCGAAAGCCUGACGGAGCAACGCCGCGUGAGUGAUGAAGGUCUUCGGAUCGUAAAACUCUGUUAUUAGGGAAGAACAAAUGUGUAAGUAACUAUGCACGUCUUGACGGUACCUAAUCAGAAAGCCACGGCUAACUACGUG